ACGGUGGCUGGUUGUCAAAAGCAGCAUGAUGAUUUAGUUGAGACCGAGCAUAUUCUUCAGAUAUUCUAUCCAUGCAUCUGUCAGGCAAUUCCCCAAACUGCAUACGAUACCGAGAAGGGGGUGAAUUUGGAAAGUCUGGUACUGAUCUUGGAUCAUGGUGCCCAUGAUGCCUAGGAGAAUAAAAUGCAGGACUCCAUGAACCUUCCAUUUCAC
RNAcentral lists this unclassified non-coding RNA (213 nucleotides) under Hevea brasiliensis (rubber tree). The record is from RNAcentral. Lineage: Eukaryota; Viridiplantae; Streptophyta; Magnoliopsida; Malpighiales; Euphorbiaceae.